GACGAACGCUGGCGGCGUGCCUAAUACAUGCAAGUUGAGCGCUGAAGGUUGGUACUUGUACCAACUGGAUGAGCAGCGAACGGGUGAGUAACGCGUGGGGAAUCUGCCUUUGAGCGGGGGACAACAUUUGGAAACGAAUGCUAAUACCGCAUAAAAACUUUAAACACAAGUUUUAAGUUUGAAAGAUGCAAUUGCAUCACUCAAAGAUGAUCCCGCGUUGUAUUAGCUAGUUGGUGAGGUAAAGGCUCACCAAGGCGAUGAUACAUAGCCGACCUGAGGGGGUGAUCGGCCACAUUGGGACUGAGACACGGCCCAAACUCCUACGGGAGGCAGCAGUAGGGAAUCUUCGGCAAUGGACGAAAGUCUGACCGAGCAACGCCGCGUGAGUGAAGAAGGUUGUCGGAUCGUAAAACUCUGUUGGUAGAGAAGAACGUUGGUGAGAGUGGAAAGCUCAUCAAGUGACGGUAACUACACAGAAAGGGACGGCUAACUACGUG
Molecule: ribosomal RNA, 497 nt
Filed under: uncultured bacterium
Lineage: Bacteria
Description: partial 16S ribosomal RNA
Rfam family: Bacterial small subunit ribosomal RNA
Source: RNAcentral